Molecule: ribosomal RNA, 576 nt
Filed under: uncultured eukaryote
Lineage: Eukaryota
Description: SSU rRNA
Rfam family: Eukaryotic small subunit ribosomal RNA
Source: RNAcentral
UAAAAACCCCGACUUCGGAAGGGGUGUAUUUAUUAGAUACAAAACCAAUGCCCUUCGGGGCUCUUUGGUGAUUCAUGAUAACUAUACGAAUCGCACGGCCUUGCGCCGGCGAUGGUUCAUUCAAAUUUCUUCCCUAUCAACUUUCGAUGUUUGGGUAUUGGCCAAACAUGGUUGCAACGGGUAACGGAGGGUUAGGGCUCGACCCCGGAGAAGGAGCCUGAGAAACGGCUACUACAUCCAAGGAAGGCAGCAGGCGCGCAAAUUACCCAAUCCCGACUCGGGGAGGUAGUGACAAUAAAUACUGAUACAGGGCCCUUUCGGGCCUUGUAAUUGGAAUGAGUACAAUUUAAAUCCCUUAACGAGGAACAAUUGGAGGGCAAGUCUGGUGCCAGCAGCCGCGGUAAUUCCAGCUCCAAUAGCGUAUAUUAAAGUUGUUGUGGUUAAAAAGCUCGUAGUUGAACCUUGGGCCUGGCUGGCCGGUCCGCCUCACCGCGUGCACUGGUCCGGCCGGGCCUUUCCCUCUGUGGAACCCCAUACCCUUCACUGGGCGUGGCGGGGAAACAGGACGUUUACUUU